CCACGCUCUGGGCUCAGUGCACCCACAGCUUUUCGGAAGAUCCUCACUUCCCCAAGCAUGCGUCUGCUCCUUCUCCUGGCUCCAAAGCAGGGGAUUGUCCUGACCCUGCCACAGCCGGCCGCUAGGAACACUUGGGGGUUAGGAGCUUCCUUUGUUCCUACGCAGGAGACAGAGCCUGUUGACUAGCCCUGAACCAGCCCCCGAGGCCCGAGGAACGUCUGGAGCUGGUCAUCUGAGGCCAUCCCUUGUGUGAUCACUCGCUACAGCAAGGGCAGUCGGGUUACCCUGCUUGGUUGAGACAUGAAAGCAAUCAGGGCCCACCCCUGGAGCCGGAGGUGCACGGAGCCCCUCCAGCCAACCUAGCUGCCACUUCAGGUGGAAAGGAAGAAUGUGGAUGGAGGGGAACCAAACGCACGUCUGUCUCGUUACAACGUGUUGGUCUUUGGUGAGUUUGCCCUCGGAGGAUUGCUUCCCGCUUGGCCUGCUCUGCUCUGUAUUGUCAGCGUGUGCGUGUGCGCAUGCGCGCGCAUGCCCGCAGUGGAGAGGGGCUGGUCCCCGGAGGAUGUGUUUCCCCGUCUCCCAGGGCCGCUGACUUCUCCUGGCCUCAGCCAAUGGGAAGCGUUAUUGAAGAAGCGGAGAGAAGAGGGCAGGGAGAAGCCAGAGUAUUUCUCCCCAUCUCUGUCGGCCUCGGGCAGCUUCUCUGGAAACAGCCGCCUCGCCUGCCAGGCUCCAGCUCCCCCAGACGGGCCCUUCGUCAUCUCAGCUUCCACCUGGUGGCCCCAUCCCUGGGCCCCGAAACCACCACCUUGUGUCCCUCCAGCCUACGGGUGGGGGCUUCCUGCCGUUCCCAGGUUCCAGGGCGCACGCGUCACCACCCUGUUGGGUCUCAGCAGCUCCACCCCUGUGUAAACCACUUCCCUCUGGCAGCAGCUCUACUUACAAAACAGAUGAGGUUCUAAAAGAAUCUUCCCAACUGUCUUUGUUUCCUACUCUGAAACCACACACAAGUGACGGCUCCCGACAUCUGAGGGGUCCGGCUGGAACAGCUUGUGGUGGUACGCGGUGAUUUCUUCUAUGGCAAUAGCCUCAGGUUGAACAGUCCUGGGUUGACGAUAUUCUGUGCUUGGAUUUGCUCAGAGGCAAUUACUGUUCCUUUGAAAACACAAAUCUGGCAUCAUUUCCAUGAAAACAGUGGUCCUGGAGCCCCAUGCUGCUUCUCCUCCCCCCUGGUCCCCUCUGCCACGUCACACUGAAUCAAUCAGGAAGGAAGACAAAAGUGCUGGCCCUCCUGCCUGACUCAGGGGCCCCUGAGCGAUGCCACUGGCCUGCCCCAGCCUGUCCCUGAGGCCUGCUGGUGCCCACCCACUGCUCUGACAUCCUGACAGACUUCUCACUCCCCAGGACUCAGCCAGCCUCACCUCACCCCUUGCCCUCCCAGCACUGCCAGGCUCUUUCGGAGCCACAUGUCACAGAAGUUGGCAGGAAGUCUCAGGGUAGUGACUAAAGAUCGAUCAGGUUGUCAUUUAUAGUGUAGUAAUUAACACUGAGCUCCCUAAAAAGUCCCCAAAUGCCAGCCCUUUCCAAUCCAGGUACCCGGUGAGGCUCGUGACUGUCUCCCGGCCCUGAAUGGCCAAUCAGAGAAAUUAGGGUCUCAAGGUCCACGUCUUCUGGUCCAUGGGACAGAAAUAGACCCCAGCCUCCAUCUCACUCUACCCCAUAGAGAGAUUGGUCCUCACUCUUGCCAUUUCAGGGUGAGCUGGGCACAGCUGUGAUGGCUUAAGACAGUGGUUCUCAACCCUAUCCACGCAGAGCUUGUUAGAAAUGCAGAAUCUUGGGCCCCACUAAUGAAUCAGCUAAUAAGUCAGUUAAUGAAUCAGAACCUGCAUUUUAACGAGAUCCCCAAGUGAUUCCGACGGAUGGUAAAUUUGAGGAGCAUCGCUCUAGGUCAGUGGUUCUCAAACUUGAGCGAGCAUCAAAAUCACCUAGAGUGCUUGUUAAAACACAGGUUGCUUGUUAUUCAGCCACAAAAAGGAAUGAACUUCUGAUAUAUGCUACAAUACAACACGGAUGGACCUUGAGAAUAUCAUGCUUGGGAAUAAGCCAGAUGCAGAAAGACAAUAUUACAUGCUUCCAUUUAUAUGAGGGACCCAGAAUAGGCAAAUUUGUAGAGACAAGAAGUAGAGCAGAGGCUGCCAGGGGCUGGGGGCAGACAGCAAGAAAGAAGGGGGCAUUAUUGUUUAAUGGGUACAGAGUUUUUGUUGGGGAUGAUGAAAGAUUUUGGGUAUAGAUAAAGGUGAUGGCUGUAUGGCAUUUUGAAUGUAUUUAAUGCCACUGAACUGUAUGCUUAGGAAUGGUUAAAAUGAUAAAUAUUAUGUAUAUUUCACCACAAUAAAAAUAUAUUUCACCGCAUGUCUCUGGGCCCCACCCCCAGAGUUUCUGAUUUGUGAUUCAGCAGGUCUAGACUGAAGUCCGAGAAUUUGCAUUUCUAACAAGUACCCAAGUGAGGCUGAUGCUGCUGGUCCGAGGACCAUGUUUUGAGUGGCAAGAACCUGAGCACUGUUCCUAAGUAAAAUUAAAGGAAGACUGAUGUCCAGCCCAGCCCAGAGAUUCUGAUUGGACAGGUCUGGACUGGGGCCUGGGCUUGGGGCUCUUUCAGCCUCGUUGAGGUUGCCCUACUGUGCAGUCAAGGCGGAGAAGCACAGCUGGGUGGGGCCUUCUGGGAACCUCUUCCCCUGCUUCUGCUUCCUAUCGGUGAGGAGUUCCCGGUGUUUCGCUGCAGAAGCUUUAAAAAGUACUGAGGAAGCCGGCUUCUGGUGGUGGAGGGGUUUUUUUAUGCUGGGAAAAAUCGCCCCACCCUUUGUUCUCCCAGAAAGUGCUUUUAAACCAUGGGACAGACCCUCAAGAGAGAGGGGACAUUCACUCAGUGACUGAAUGACCAGGGUUGAUAGACAGAUUUCAGCUUUGUUAUGUUCCCCAUUUUAGUGAGUGUGAAGUUAUUAAUUCCUUCAACAGAGCUUCUCUGUUUUAACAAAAUUUAGGGCGCCCUGACUCGCACUUCAUUUCCUAAGGGCUGGCAAGUCUGUCACAGGUGAAUCCACUAGAAGAAAACAGGCAAGACAGCGUGAAGGCCAAGAGUGCUUUUCAGAUCUUUCCUCAACCCAAAGCAAUCCCAUGAAUAGCUAGUUUGGUGAUUUUCCACCAAUUCUAAAGAGUUCCGUCAGAUCGUAGAACUAACCGUGGAUGCCUACACAGAUGCUCCUUACCCACUGGUCUGGCAUCUUGGUGGACACCCUGACUGUCCAGGGUGGCUGGAACCUCUUACCUGCUGCUUCUCUCCCUCCACCCUGCACCCACCUACCCCUCUCCCUGCCUGAGAGUCAGCUCACUCCCUUCCACCACCACCCCACCACCCCCGCAGCCCCUGCCACCACCAGAAGGAGCGGAUGGGAGGGGCAGCCUCAAGACCACAGGCGCUACCCAACUCAACUAUGGGGAACUUAUGAUACGUUAAAAACAACAGAUUUAAGAGGAGCUCGAGCAAAGAAGACAGACAUUCAAUGUUAGCUAAGGCCUCAAAAUAAAAUAUUGACUUCAAGACAGACUUUUUGAAAGACUCUGGCAGAAGCCAAUAAAAAGAAUUCAUUUUCACUUAAAUCUUCUGAAACCCACCCUCCUUGCAUCUUUUUCUCCAUACUGUAAAUUAUCUUUACUCACCGACACCCAAUUAUACCUCUCCUGCUCCUUCUUCUCCUUCCCCUGACCUGCUAGGUCAACUACCUGUUCCCAGCAUUUUUCUCAGGAAAGGGUCACAUUUCACAGUAUGCCCUCAAAAUUGCUCGGCUAAAAGGCUGAUCUGGAAGUCAAAUUUAAGUUAAGGGCUAUAAUUAAGGAUUCCAAAACCUCAGGAAGACAGACAAAAGAAGUCUGCAGAAUUAUGGAUUUUGUUAGUUAGUUACUAUCCUGGAUGACCAGAUCCAUACCAAUGAGUUCACUCAACUUUAAGCCCCUCACGUGGGGGAAUGUUUAAGAGAAUGGGAAAAGCCAAGGAAGGAUUUAAAUAACCCAGCUGCACAUGAUUCAGAUAUUGGCCUUGAGAGGACAAGCAAACUAGAAAAUGAAAUACAUAUGGCCAUUACCGAAGUCUUCCCCUUAAAGGGAGAUUGGACAAAAAGUCAAAGUUGUGAAUAAAAUGAAGAUGACUCAGUAGGACACUAGACUUCAGGAAACCUUUCAACAAUAUUCUAAGAUCCAUCUAGCAGCUGAAGUAAAAGGAGCCUUACCCUCUCUUUUUAGAAAUAGACUCACAUCUCAGAUAGAAAACUUAGUCAGAAAAAUAAAUUGGAGUGGGAAAUUGCCAAUUUAGAAGAUCUGCAAAGUGCAGCUUAACAUUUUCAAAAAGCCCUAGAAAAUAAACAAGCUAGAAAUGAAAACAAACUCUUGG
Molecule: long non-coding RNA, 4441 nt
Organism: Equus caballus (horse)
Lineage: Eukaryota; Metazoa; Chordata; Mammalia; Perissodactyla; Equidae
Source: Ensembl